AGUGGGAUAGCUAGGUGAAAUGGUGGCUCCAUCCCAAGUUUUCUAAGGAAUCUCCAUACUGCUUUCCAGAGUAGAUGUACCAAUUUACAAUCCCACCAGUAAU
RNAcentral lists this microRNA precursor (103 nucleotides) under Marmota monax (woodchuck). The record is from RNAcentral. Lineage: Eukaryota; Metazoa; Chordata; Mammalia; Rodentia; Sciuridae.